This 407-nucleotide ribosomal RNA is filed under the name uncultured bacterium. RNAcentral's name for it is "partial 16S ribosomal RNA". It matches the Rfam family "Bacterial small subunit ribosomal RNA", at positions 30 to 526 of the family's 1533-position model. The record is from RNAcentral.
AUUGAACGCUGGCGGCAGGCCUAACACAUGCAAGUCGAGCGGAGCGGCGGAGGGGUGAGUAAUGCCUAGGAAUAUGCCUGGUAGUGGGGGAUAAGGUUCGGAAACGGGCGCUAAUACCGCAUACUAUCAGCAGAGGAUAGGCCGGAAUAGCUAGUUGGUGGGGUAAAGGCCCACCAAGGCGACGAUCCGUAGCUGGUCUGAGAGGAUGAUCAGUCACACUGGAACUGAGACACGGUCCAGACUCCUACGGGAGGCAGCAGUGGGGAAUAUUGGACAAUGGGCGAAAGCCUGAUCCAGCCAUGCCGCGUGUAUGAAGAAGGUCUUCGGAUUGUAAAGCACUGUAAGUUGGGAGGCGUUACCAACAGAAGAAGCACCGGCUAACUUCGUGCCAGCAGCCGCGGUAAUAC